This 233-nucleotide ribosomal RNA is filed under the name uncultured Lactobacillus sp. RNAcentral's name for it is "partial 16S ribosomal RNA". It matches the Rfam family "Bacterial small subunit ribosomal RNA", at positions 132 to 354 of the family's 1533-position model. The record is from RNAcentral. Lineage: Bacteria; Bacillati; Bacillota; Bacilli; Lactobacillales; Lactobacillaceae.
AAGAGAUCGGGAUAACACCUAGGAAACAGAUGCUAAUACCGGAUAACAACAGAUGAUGCCUAUCAACUAGUUUAAAAGAUGGUUCUGCUAUCNACUCUUGGAUGGACCUGCGGUGCAUUAGCUAGUUGGUAGGGUAACGGCCUACCAAGGCGAUGAUGCAUAGCCGAGUUGAGAGACUGAUCGGCCACAUUGGGACUGAGACACGGCCCAAACUCCUACGGGAGGCAGCAGGU